GUACACGCUGUGACUAGCAUAUCAAUAAGCGGAGGAAAAGAAACUAACAAGGAUUCCCCUAGUAACGGCGAGUGAAGCGGGAAGAGCUCAAAUUUGAAAUCUUAAAGGGUUUCCCUUUACGAAUUGUAGUUUAAAGAAGUGUUUUCUGUUGAGGUUUUGGUAAAAGUUCUUUGGAAUAGGACAUCAUAGAGGGUGAGAAUCCCGUAUUUGACCUUUACUUUCCAACUUUGUGAUACACUUUCAAAGAGUCGGAUUGUUUGGGAAUGCAGUCCAAAAUGGGUGGUAAAUUUCAUCUAAAGCUAAAUAUUGGCGAGAGACCGAUAGCGAACAAGUACCGUGAGGGAAAGAUGAAAAGAACUUUGAAAAGAGAGCUAAACAGUACGUGAAGUUGUCAAAAGGGAAGCGUUUGACACCAGUGUUGUUUUUCUGAAAAUCAAUUAAAGAACUGUUUAUGCUAAGCUGUUUAGACUUUAUCAGCUAAUCUGUUUAGUUUUGAGCUUUUCUUUAAUGCACUUUUCAGUUAACAAGUCAACAUCAAUUUCCUUUGCUGUAAAAAAGCUUGAGGAAGGUGGCUUGAGAUUCGUCUUAAGUGUUUAUAGCCUCUUGCCUAUGCAGUCGGAGAGAUUGAGGUCUGCAGCGUAGAUCCUUCGGGGCUAAAUGCAUUUGUGCUAAGUUAUAGCAUUUUAUAGACAACUUGUUGACUAUGAUUUGUCUUGUAGCUUACUCGCUUAUGUUAUUUUACCUACGCUUAGGAUGUUGACGCGCGUGUGUGCGUG
Molecule: ribosomal RNA, 776 nt
Filed under: uncultured Neocallimastigales
Lineage: Eukaryota; Fungi; Neocallimastigomycota; Neocallimastigomycetes; Neocallimastigales
Description: partial large subunit ribosomal RNA
Rfam family: Eukaryotic large subunit ribosomal RNA
Source: RNAcentral